AGAGUUUGAUCCUGGCUCAGGAUGAACGCUAGCGGCAGGCCUAACACAUGCAAGUCGAGGGGCAGCACGAAUUAGUUUACUAAUUUGGUGGCGACCGGCGCACGGGUGCGUAACGCGUAUGCAACCUACCCUGUACUGAGGGAUAGCCCGGAGAAAUCUGGAUUAACACCUCAUAGUAUUAAGAUACCGCAUGGUAAUUUAAUUAAAGGUUACGGUACAGGAUGGGCAUGCGUCCUAUUAGUUAGUUGGAGAGGUAACGGCUCACCAAGGCUACGAUAGGUAGGGGUCCUGAGAGGGUUGUCCCCCACACUGGUACUGAGACACGGACCAGACUCCUACGGGAGGCAGCAGUGAGGAAUAUUGGUCAAUGGACGCAAGUCUGAACCAGCCAUGCCGCGUGCAGGAAGAAUGCCCUAUGGGUUGUAAACUGCUUUUAUUUAGGAAUAAACCUUUCUACGUGUAGAAAGCUGAAGGUACUAAAUGAAUAAGCACCGGCUAACUCCGUGCCAGCAGCCGCGGUAAUACGGAGGGUGCAAGCGUUAUCCGGAAUCAUUGGGUUUAAAGGGUCCGCAGGCGGAUUUAUAAGUCAGUGGUGAAAGCCUACAGCUUAACUGUAGAACUGCCAUUGAUACUGUAAGUCUUGAAUUCGGUCGAAGUGGGCGGAAUGUGUAAUGUAGCGGUGAAAUGCAUAGAUAUUACACAGAACACCGAUAGCGAAGGCAGCUCACUAGGCCUGGAUUGACGCUCAGGGACGAAAGCGUGGGGAUCAAACAGGAUUAGAUACCCUGGUAGUCCACGCUGUAAACGAUGAUUACUCGUUUUCGGCGAUAUACAGUCGGAGACUAAGCGAAAGUGAUAAGUAAUCCACCUGGGGAGUACGAUCGCAAGGUUGAAACUCAAGGAAUUGACGG
Molecule: ribosomal RNA, 911 nt
Filed under: uncultured marine bacterium
Lineage: Bacteria
Description: bacterial SSU rRNA
Rfam family: Bacterial small subunit ribosomal RNA
Source: RNAcentral